AGUGAUGUGGCUCAGAGGUAGAGCACUCACCUGGCACAUGUAAGGGCCUGGGUUCAGUCCCCAGCACUG
RNAcentral lists this transfer RNA (69 nucleotides) under Mesocricetus auratus (golden hamster). It matches the Rfam family "tRNA". From Rfam's summary of the family: Transfer RNA (tRNA) molecules are approximately 80 nucleotides in length. Lineage: Eukaryota; Metazoa; Chordata; Mammalia; Rodentia; Cricetidae. The record is from Rfam by way of RNAcentral.